GACGAACGCUGGCGGCGUGCUUAACACAUGCAAGUCGAACGGAAAGGCCCUGCUUUUGUGGGGUGCUCGAGUGGCGAAAGGGUGAGUAACACGUGAGUAACCUGCCCUUGACUUUGGGAUAACUUCAGGAAACUGGGGCUAAUACCGGAUAGGAGCUCCUGCUGCAUGGUGGGGGUUGGAAAGUUUCGGCGGUUGGGGAUGGACUCGCGGCUUAGCAGCUUGUUGGUGGGGUAGUGGCUUACCAAGGCUUUGACGGGUAGCCGGCCUGAGAGGGUGACCGGCCACAUUGGGACUGAGAUACGGCCCAGACUCCUACGGGAGGCAGCAGUGGGGAAUAUUGCACAAUGGGCGGAAGCCUGAUGCAGCAACGCCGCGUGCGGGAUGACGGCCUUCGGGUUGUAAACCGCUUUCGCCUGUGACGAAGCGUGAGUGACGGUAAUGGGUAAAGAAGCACCGGCUAACUACGUG
RNAcentral lists this ribosomal RNA (468 nucleotides) under uncultured bacterium. RNAcentral's name for it is "partial 16S ribosomal RNA". It matches the Rfam family "Bacterial small subunit ribosomal RNA", at positions 28 to 507 of the family's 1533-position model. The record is from RNAcentral.